This 573-nucleotide long non-coding RNA is filed under the name Olea europaea subsp. europaea. The record is from RNAcentral. Lineage: Eukaryota; Viridiplantae; Streptophyta; Magnoliopsida; Lamiales; Oleaceae.
CAGAGCCACCGUCACCACCAAAACCACUCCACCACCACCUCUCGACAACACCACAACCAACACACAAACAACAUCCAUCACCGCUAACACACACAUAUCCACCUUUGAAUAUUGACAGUACCAUCACCACCGCCAGAUCAAUCACCACCGCAACACCGCCAUCAUACAAACACCGUCACCACGACCACCUCAUAAAACACCACUUCAUGCACUUUGGUCAUAGAUCUACUUCACAAUCAGCCAUUGCCAGAUCCGCCACCACAACCACCUCAACAACACCACCAUCACCACUACCACAUAAAACACCAUGUCGUGCGCUAUGGUAGUAGAUUUGCUUCGCAAAUACAGUCUCCAACGAUUUGCUCAUUCUGGGGUGAAAUGGAUAGAGGGGUUGGGACGAUGGAAAGGUAAGGAGCUUGUGAUUGCCGGAGGUGAUGGAUUGUGUAGGUUGGUGUAUAGAGAGAAUGGAUAAAUGUAGAGAGAGAUAGGAGAAUGAGAAUUAAUUAAGAUUUGUGAUAUGUGUGUAUUGGAGUAUAUGUAUUUAGUUAAAAUAUUUAUUUUAUAAAAAUAUUG